GUUUUCAGGAGCACAAGCGUAAAGGAGAAAUCCGCGGUGAAUACGAAAGCAUAAAUUCUGAAAAUAGCUUUUUACUUCAUGAAAACGCGCCCAUGAAACAACUACCUGUCGCAGUCGCGCGCAAUUCGUAAGAUGGCGCUGUCAUAGUUUGAUCCUCCAACCAAUGCACUGGAAUCCACUACAAGCUCAAACCUACUCUCUGGUUUUUCGUUCACACUUAAAUCUGAUGUAUAGCGCCAGUGCUUGCUCUAACUUUUUUUUGGAAUACUCUGCCUAGAAAAUAUAUUAAAUUAAAGGCAAGAUGAAAGAGAAGAAAAAAUAAAUGAUUAAAUUGACUUUGCUUUCUUUUCUUUUUUUAACUUUGCGCAUAGGUUGAUGGGAAAGAACUUAUUGAAAGAGUGCUAGAUCAUUCAACAGAAUUUCUUCAAGGAACCUCCAAGUUUCCAUUUUCGACACAUUUGUUUCAGAAGCUUUCUUCAAACUUUAUCUUUAAGGAAAUAUCCAAACAUUAGAGACAUUUCAGUAAAGAAAAAAGUGCACAUACAAGUACUACACUAAAAUUGAGUGUUGAAGACUUUUCGAACAUUGAAU
This is a non-coding RNA of Parasteatoda tepidariorum (common house spider), 591 nucleotides long. The record is from RefSeq and is a predicted model, not a curated record. NCBI's taxonomy places the organism in Eukaryota, Metazoa, Arthropoda, Arachnida, Araneae, Theridiidae.